RNAcentral lists this transfer RNA (71 nucleotides) under Ovis aries (sheep). It matches the Rfam family "tRNA". From Rfam's summary of the family: Transfer RNA (tRNA) molecules are approximately 80 nucleotides in length. Lineage: Eukaryota; Metazoa; Chordata; Mammalia; Artiodactyla; Bovidae. The record is from Rfam by way of RNAcentral.
UCCCUGUGGCUCAGACGGUAAAGCAUCUGUCUACAAUGCAGGAGACCCAGGUUCGAACCCUGGGUUGGGAA